UUAAAUCGUAACUUAUACACUAGAGUAGUAAUAGUUAUGAGCUUGAAACUUAAAAAAUUUGGCGGUAUUUUAGUCUAUUCAGAGGAACCUGUUCUAUAAUCGAUAAUCCACGAUGGACCUCACUUAAAUUAGUAUUCAGCUUAUAUACCGUCGUUAUCAGGAAAUUUUAAAAGAAAUAGAAUUUCCAGAAAUUCCUAUAAGAAUUUAUAUCAGAUCAAGGUGUAGCUAAUGUUUAAGAAGAAAUGGGUUACAAUAAAUUUAUUUAGUGGAUUUCUUUUUGAAAUAGAAGAAUAAAAAUGGAUUUGAUAGUAAAAUUUUAUAGAUUAAAAAUUUGAUUGUAGCUCUAAAAUAUGCAC
Molecule: ribosomal RNA, 356 nt
Filed under: Myopa occulta
Lineage: Eukaryota; Metazoa; Arthropoda; Insecta; Diptera; Conopidae
Description: partial 12S ribosomal RNA
Source: RNAcentral